UCCCUGGUGGCUCAGAUGGUAAAGUGUCUGUCUGCAAUGCGGGAGACCCGGGUUCAAUCCCUGGGUUGGGAA
Molecule: transfer RNA, 72 nt
Filed under: Bos taurus (domestic cattle)
Lineage: Eukaryota; Metazoa; Chordata; Mammalia; Artiodactyla; Bovidae
Also listed under: 2 other names
Rfam family: tRNA
About the family: Transfer RNA (tRNA) molecules are approximately 80 nucleotides in length.
Source: Rfam by way of RNAcentral